GAUUAAGUUAUUAAGGGCGCACGGUGGAUGCCUUGGCACUAGAAGCCGAUGAAGGACGUUACUAACGACGAUAUGCUUUGGGGAGCUGUAAGUAAGCUUUGAUCCAGAGAUUUCCGAAUGGGGAAACCCAGCAUGAGUUAUGUCAUGUUAUCGAUAUGUGAAUACAUAGCAUAUCAGAAGGCACACCCGGAGAACUGAAACAUCUUAGUACCCGGAGGAAGAGAAAGAAAAUUCGAUUCCCUUAGUAGCGGCGAGCGAAACGGGAAGAGCCCAAACCAACAAGCUUGCUUGUUGGGGUUGUAGGACACUCUAUACGGAGUUACAAAGGACGACAUUAGACGAAUCAUCUGGAAAGAUGAAUCAAAGAAGGUAAUAAUCCUGUAGUCGAAAAUGUUGUCUCUCUUGAGUGGAUCCUGAGUACGACGGAGCACGUGAAAUUCCGUCGGAAUCUGGGAGGACCAUCUCCUAAGGCUAAAUACUCUCUAGUGACCGAUAGUGAACCAGUACCGUGAGGGAAAGGUGAAAAGCACCCCGGAAGGGGAGUGAAAUAGAACCUGAAACCGUGUGCUUACAAGUAGUCAGAGCCCGUUAAUGGGUGAUGGCGUGCCUUUUGUAGAAUGAACCGGCGAGUUACGAUUUGAUGCAAGGUUAAGCAGUAAAUGUGGAGCCGUAGCGAAAGCGAGUCUGAAUAGGGCGUUUAGUAUUUGGUCGUAGACCCGAAACCAGGUGAUCUACCCUUGGUCAGGUUGAAGUUCAGGUAACACUGAAUGGAGGACCGAACCGACUUACGUUGAAAAGUGAGCGGAUGAACUGAGGGUAGCGGAGAAAUUCCAAUCGAACCUGGAGAUAGCUGGUUCUCUCCGAAAUAGCUUUAGGGCUAGCCUCAAGUGAUGAUUAUUGGAGGUAGAGCACUGUUUGGACGAGGGGCCCCUCUCGGGUUACCGAAUUCAGACAAACUCCGAAUGCCAAUUAAUUUAACUUGGGAGUCAGAACAUGGGUGAUAAGGUCCGUGUUCGAAAGGGAAACAGCCCAGACCACCAGCUAAGGUCCCAAAAUAUAUGUUAAGUGGAAAAGGAUGUGGCGUUGCCCAGACAACUAGGAUGUUGGCUUAGAAGCAGCCAUCAUUUAAAGAGUGCGUAAUAGCUCACUAGUCGAGUGACACUGCGCCGAAAAUGUACCGGGGCUAAACAUAUUACCGAAGCUGUGGAUUGUCCUUUGGACAAUGGUAGGAGAGCGUUCUAAGGGCGUUGAAGCAUGAUCGCAAGGACAUGUGGAGCGCUUAGAAGUGAGAAUGCCGGUGUGAGUAGCGAAAGACGGGUGAGAAUCCCGUCCACCGAUUGACUAAGGUUUCCAGAGGAAGGCUCGUCCGCUCUGGGUUAGUCGGGUCCUAAGCUGAGGCCGACAGGCGUAGGCGAUGGAUAACAGGUUGAUAUUCCUGUACCACCUAUAAUCGUUUUAAUCGAUGGGGGGACGCAGUAGGAUAGGCGAAGCGUGCGAUUGGAUUGCACGUCUAAGCAGUAAGGCUGAGUAUUAGGCAAAUCCGGUACUCGUUAAGGCUGAGCUGUGAUGGGGAGAAGACAUUGUGUCUUCGAGUCGUUGAUUUCACACUGCCGAGAAAAGCCUCUAGAUAGAAAAUAGGUGCCCGUACCGCAAACCGACACAGGUAGUCAAGAUGAGAAUUCUAAGGUGAGCGAGCGAACUCUCGUUAAGGAACUCGGCAAAAUGACCCCGUAACUUCGGGAGAAGGGGUGCUCUUUAGGGUUAACGCCCAGAAGAGCCGCAGUGAAUAGGCCCAAGCGACUGUUUAUCAAAAACACAGGUCUCUGCUAAACCGUAAGGUGAUGUAUAGGGGCUGACGCCUGCCCGGUGCUGGAAGGUUAAGAGGAGUGGUUAGCUUCUGCGAAGCUACGAAUCGAAGCCCCAGUAAACGGCGGCCGUAACUAUAACGGUCCUAAGGUAGCGAAAUUCCUUGUCGGGUAAGUUCCGACCCGCACGAAAGGCGUAACGAUUUGGGCACUGUCUCAACGAGAGACUCGGUGAAAUCAUAGUACCUGUGAAGAUGCAGGUUACCCGCGACAGGACGGAAAGACCCCGUGGAGCUUUACUGUAGCCUGAUAUUGAAAUUCGGCACAGCUUGUACAGGAUAGGUAGGAGCCUUUGAAACGUGAGCGCUAGCUUACGUGGAGGCGCUGGUGGGAUACUACCCUAGCUGUGUUGGCUUUCUAACCCGCACCACUUAUCGUGGUGGGAGACAGUGUCAGGCGGGCAGUUUGACUGGGGCGGUCGCCUCCUAAAAGGUAACGGAGGCGCUCAAAGGUUCCCUCAGAAUGGUUGGAAAUCAUUCAUAGAGUGUAAAGGCAUAAGGGAGCUUGACU
Molecule: ribosomal RNA, 2375 nt
Filed under: Staphylococcus aureus
Lineage: Bacteria; Bacillati; Bacillota; Bacilli; Caryophanales; Staphylococcaceae
Description: partial 23S ribosomal RNA
Rfam family: Bacterial large subunit ribosomal RNA
Source: RNAcentral